Molecule: unclassified non-coding RNA, 472 nt
Filed under: Hevea brasiliensis (rubber tree)
Lineage: Eukaryota; Viridiplantae; Streptophyta; Magnoliopsida; Malpighiales; Euphorbiaceae
Source: RNAcentral
GAUUGCCUUGGAAUGAUCAAGGUGAAGGUAGUUAUCCGAGCUAGCAAAUUUUUUUAGGGCAAUGGCAGCUUCCUUAGAAAUAUCUGCUUCUCGCUCGUCAAGCAGUUUUACUAAUGGAGUAAUCAUCCUUGUCUCAGUAGCUCGAAAAGUCCUAGCCAAACUCCCAAUAGCUUUAACACAUGGAACAAGCAGAUCUGAAUCAGCUUGUUCAAUGAUUCUUAGCAAUUGAUCAACAACAGCUUUGCAGGCAGGGGAAUUAGGCUUGAAGGCUGACCUUCUCAACUCAGCGUCUACUUCCGCCACUGAUGUUAUUUCCAUUAUUGCCAUAGCAGAAUCAUACUGAACAUCCUCAGGUCCUUUCUCUAACAGUACUGCAAAACAAAGCAACGCUCUUGAUUCAGUGAUACUACGACAAAUGGGCGAAUUUCCCUUGGCAAGCUUCCAUAGUGCUCUUGCAGCCAUUGCCUUCAUA